Molecule: long non-coding RNA, 353 nt
Organism: Myotis brandtii (Brandt's bat)
Lineage: Eukaryota; Metazoa; Chordata; Mammalia; Chiroptera; Vespertilionidae
Exons: 2
Source: RefSeq, a predicted model, not a curated record
UGCUGCCCAGAGAACAGGAGGUCAAAUGUACAAGAACCAAGGCUCAAAGGACAGCCAGCACCAACUGCCAGACAUGAGAUACUUUCAGGGUGGCCAUGAGUAUUUAUGAGCUUAUGCUGCAGAAGGAAAUAAUGUCUUCAAGGUAGCUGAGACCAGCUUCUGAUGCCCAGAAAUCUGAUGUGAAAAAGUGUUAUGUGUGGCUGAAGAAACAGACUUUUCUCUCAGUUCCCUGAAACUCUCCUUCCUUCUUUCUCUCCUUUAAAACUCUUCUGCUUGGUAUGGAACUUUGGAGAUGGUCUUUGGACAUUAGCCUGCCGUCUUCCUGAAUAAAGCAAAAUUUCCUUUUCACCCAA